Molecule: transfer RNA, 82 nt
Filed under: Bacteroidota bacterium
Lineage: Bacteria; Pseudomonadati; Bacteroidota
Also listed under: 3 other names
Description: Bacteroidetes bacterium tRNA-Tyr
Rfam family: tRNA
About the family: Transfer RNA (tRNA) molecules are approximately 80 nucleotides in length. Their secondary structure includes four short double-helical elements and three loops (D, anti-codon, and T loops). Further hydrogen bonds mediate the characteristic L-shaped molecular structure. tRNAs have two regions of fundamental functional importance: the anti-codon, which is responsible for specific mRNA codon recognition, and the 3' end, to which the tRNAs corresponding amino acid is attached (by aminoacyl-tRNA synthetases). tRNAs cope with the degeneracy of the genetic code in two manners: having more than one tRNA (with a specific anti-codon) for a particular amino acid; and 'wobble' base-pairing, i.e. permitting non-standard base-pairing at the 3rd anti-codon position.
Source: RNAcentral
GGGGAGAUACUCAAGCGGCCAACGAGGACAGACUGUAAAUCUGUUGACUUAGUCUUCACAGGUUCGAAUCCUGUUCUCCCCA